AGAACGUGCCCUUAAGUGGAGGAUAAUCUCGGGAAAUUGAGGAUAAUACUCCAUAGAUCAUGGGAUCUGGAAUGACCCAUGGUUCAAAGUUCCGGCGCUUAAGGAUCGCUCUGCGGCCUAUCAGGUAGUAGUGGGUGUAAAGUACCCCCUAGCCUACGACGGGUAUGGGCCUUGAGAGAGGGAGCCCAGAGUUGGAUUCUGAGACACGAAUCCAGGCCCUACGGGGCGCAGCAGUCGCGAAAACUUCACACUGGGGGCAACCCCGAUGAGGGAAAUCCUAGUGCUAGGACAUUUGUUCUAGCUUUUCUCAAGCGUAGAUAACUUGAGGAAUAAGGGCUGGGUAAGACGGGUGCCAGCCGCCGCGGUAAUACCUGCAGCCCAAGUGGUGGUCGAUUUUAUUGAGUCUAAAACGUUCGUAGCCGGUUUGGUAAAUCUUUGGGUAAAUCGGGAGGCUCAACUUUCCGACUUCCGAAGAGACUGUCAAACUUGGGACCGGGAGAGGCUAGAGGUACUUCUGGGGUAGGGGUAAAAUCCUGUAAUCCUAGAAGGACCACCGGUGGCGAAGGCGUCUAGCUAGAACGGAUCCGACGGUGAGGGACGAAGCCCUGGGUCGCAAACGGGAUUAGAUACCCCGGUAGUCCAGGGUGUAAACGCUGCCGACUUGGUGUUGGAGGCCCUUCGGGGGCAUUCAGUGCCGGAGAGAAGUUGUUAAGUCGGCUACUUGGGGAGUACGUCCGCAAGGAUGAAACUUAAAGGAAUUGGCGGGGGAGCACCGCAACGGGAGGAGCGUGCGGUUUAAUUGGAUUCAACACCGGAAAACUCACCAAGGGCGACUAUCACAUGAAAGCCAGGCUAACGACCUUGCUUGAUUCUUAGAGAGGUGGUGCAUGGCCGUCGUCAGUUCGUACCGUAAGGCGUUCUCUUAAGUGAGAUAACGAACGAGACCCUCAUCUAUAAUUGCUACUUCACCCUCCGGGGUGGAGGCACAUUAUCGAGACCGCUGGCGCUAAGUCAGAGGAAGGAGAGGUCAACGGUAGGUCAGUAUGCCCCGAAUCUCUUGGGCUACACGCGCGCUACAAAGGGCGGGACAAUGGGCUACAACGUCGAAAGGCGAAGUCAAUCUCGAAACCCGUCCGUAGUUCGGAUUGAGGCUUGUAACUCAGCCUCAUGAAGCUG
This 1176-nucleotide ribosomal RNA is filed under the name uncultured methanogenic archaeon. Its description in RNAcentral is "bacterial SSU rRNA". It matches the Rfam family "Archaeal small subunit ribosomal RNA", at positions 104 to 1284 of the family's 1478-position model. Lineage: Archaea; Methanobacteriati; Methanobacteriota. The record is from RNAcentral.